This 330-nucleotide ribosomal RNA is filed under the name uncultured eukaryote. RNAcentral describes it as "partial 18S ribosomal RNA". It matches the Rfam family "Eukaryotic small subunit ribosomal RNA", at positions 1470 to 1796 of the family's 1831-position model. The record is from RNAcentral.
CCCUUAGAUGUUCUGGGCCGCACGCGUGCUACACUGAUGCAUUCAACGAGUCUAAAACCUGGUCUGACAGGGCUGGGUAAUCUUUUGAAAGUGCAUCGUGAUUGGGAUAGAUGAUUGCAAUUCUUCAUCUUCAACGAGGAAUGCCUAGUAAACGCAAGUCAUCAGCUUGCAUUGAUUACGUCCCUGCCCUUUGUACACACCGCCCGUCGCUCCUACCGAUUGAAUGAUCCGAUGAAUAUCAUGGAUUGAGAGUACGAAUGGGUUCGCUCAUUUCUGCUGCUCGAGAAGUGAAGUAAAUCUUAUCAUUUAGAGGAAGGAGAAGUCGUAACA